AUACGUAGGGGGCGAGCGUUGUCCGGAAUGAUUGGGCGUAAAGGGCGCGUAGGCGGCCCGGUAAGUCUGGAGUGAAAGUCCUGUUUUUAAGAUGGGAAUUGCUUUGGAUACUGUCGGGCUUGAGUGCAGGAGAGGUAAGUGGAAUUCCCAGUGUAGCGGUGAAAUGCGUAGAGAUUGGGAGGAACACCAGUGGCGAAGGCGACUUACUGGACUGUAACUGACGCUGAGGCGCGAAAGUGUGGGGAGCAAACAGGAUUAGAUACCCUGGUAGUCCACACUGUAAACGAUGAAUGCUAGGUGUAGGGGGUAUCGACCCCUUCGGUGCCGCAGUCAACACAAUAAGCAUUCCGCCUGGGGAGUACGGCCGCAAGGUUGAAACUCAAAGGAAUUGACGGGG
This 397-nucleotide ribosomal RNA is filed under the name uncultured bacterium. Its description in RNAcentral is "partial 16S ribosomal RNA". It matches the Rfam family "Bacterial small subunit ribosomal RNA", at positions 523 to 918 of the family's 1533-position model. The record is from RNAcentral.